GGUGCGUCAAUCAUAGGGAAAAGCUAUUCGGAUUGGAUCGUUGCCUAGACUCCGGAGAUAUAUGCCAAACUUUGUCGCGGACAUGAAUUGUGGGAAUGUAGUCUCUGAUCGCCUUUGAAUGCGGAAACAGGCAAGUUGAUGGAAUUUAGUGAACUACAACUCCCAGAAUCCCAGGCGCGCCCCAGUCUUGAUAGUAAACAAGAGUCAUUGGGACACGUGUAUCAGCUCGUUUGUUUUGGUAUCUGAAGAAAAAAGGAGGGGGCGAGGAAGGGAGGAUUUUGAUUCUAGGUCCUUUCUCGCUUUCUUCAGGGCCUCUUUACAACACUUGGAGAAACUGAGGCCUUUGACACAAAAACUUUUGCUGCCCAGAUAAAGUUCUACUUUUGUUGCCCAGAUAAAGUUCCAUGCUGGCCAGGUAACAAGAGAUCCAGAGGCUGUUUAUAUACUAAGAUGAAUUCACAAAAGAAAUCCUCUCAGGAAGACGCCAAGCAUCUCUGAGAAAGGGGUCCCAUUGAUGGGACUGAACUUCCUGUAACAUAUCCCAGUCAAAAAGCAGCUUUUUCAACUGCAGUUUCCUUCGUGGUGGGCUCCAUUCUCAGGACAGAGAGGGCAUACUCAAACUUCAGUUUUUUCUUGCUGCUACACUCGGUUCUAGUUCUGAGUUUCUAUGAUGAUCAGUGGAUUUUUUUCUAUCUUCACUUUGGUCUCUGGUUAUAAUAGAUGCGAGCAGUUUUUAUAUAUGAAUUAUUGAAAUAUGCAGGAUUUAAAAAUACCGUAAUGGUUCUAAAUUUGUUCUUUUUUUCAAUUUGUUAUUACUAACCACUACCAACAAAAGAUAUUUAAAUAUGUAAAAAACUCAUGUGUAAAGUCACAAACUCCAUAUUGUUAACAAUUUGUUUAAAAUAUGUAAAUUAUAUGUGUUCCUAUAAGAGUGAAAACUAUGAAACUGGCCUUUAAAUUAAUUUGUUAAAUCAAAAGCAGUAGGGGGGAAAAGAUGGAAAAAUAGGAGAAAGAUAUAUAGUUGACCUUCCUUAUUGCUUCAUUUAGCUGGCUAUUCUACAGUCACCAUGAGGACCCCCUAACCAAAUUCAUAGGGAAGUCCAGUCAGCUCAAAAACACAGAAGCAAAGAGGGCAAAAUCCGCUCCUGCCUCAGUUUAUCAAACCUUGUCUCUGCCCACUAACUCUCUCCCAUCAAGUCUCAGUAGCUAACUAUGGCUUUCUAUUUUGCAGGAGAUAUUGCUUCAAGGGGCAUUGCAGGAGAUAUUGCCCUGCCCUCACUGGCCAAACUAUCUUGACUCCAUUGCUGCCCCUUUCCAGCUGCCAUUCUAUCCUUGUGACCCAAUUUACCCAAUGAUUUCCCUCUCAGUCCUCUCUUUCCAGCUGAGUUCAAACUCCUGCCAGGUACACCUAGUCAAAAGGGAAGGGUAAAUUUCCUUUGCAAAGUGCCAGUAUAAACAUCCUCUGCUUUUUAAAAUUCCCUUUGGAUUGUGUAUAUUAUUGUACUUUUCUCUUUUCAUCUCUUCAUGUAUUUCCCUCAUUUUCUUUAUAUUUCCAAUAUGUGUCAUUUCUAAUUACAUAAUACACUCCAUUACAUUAAAAUACCACAACCUAUUCAUCCAUUUCUGCCAAUCAUUGUAUUUGGGUUGAAAUAAAUUGUCAUUACAAAUAAAACUUCCAUGAAUAUUUUCAUGCAUACACAGCUUUUUUAUCCUCUUAAUAAUGUCUUGAGGGCCAAAUCCUAGUAAUGGAGUCCUUAGAGCUCUUUUGUAUAUUUUCAUCUUGUUUUCUAAAAAAUAAUAGUUGCUCUAGCAAAAUCAGGCCUGUUUUUCCAUGUUCCUAUUUACUUUGAUCUAUUUAACUUUGUGUUCACAGUUAAUAUAUAUUCCCAGGGUCAUAUUUAACAAGAUUGGUCCUUAGACAGCAGAUACAACAUGUUGCCAGGAUUUUACAAGUCUUUCCAGCUUGGUCAUACCCAGUGGAACUUUUGUUCCAAUGCCAUCACCUCUCAGGAAUGCAGGAUUAUCUCCAUAAUAAAAUGAAUGGCGUAGAACAGUUUUGCAGAAUAUUUAUGCUCUCUAAGCCAUUGUUCCACCAGAAACCAUAUUUGGAUUAUGUGUAUGCUCAGGCUUAGAUCUGCUAUGAGCCUCAAAGAUGUGGGGGGGCUCUCUAGAUACCUAUCAUAUUUAGUUUAUCUAAAGUUCUAUUUCUUCUCCUUUACUUAAUUUUUUUUUUUGUUACAUUCAUCUAGUUCUGAGAGGGGAAAAAUUAAAAUCUACUGCUAUUCUCUAUUUCUAUCUGUACUUCAUUUAGUUUUUCCUUUAAAAAUCUGGAUACUAUAAAACUCUUGGUGAAUACAAAUCCAAAAUAAUAUAGUUAUUCUGUUCAUCCCUUCCAAUUAUAUCCAUUUUAGUCCCAACUGUCAGAGAUCAUGACUACUGCCCCUGCCUUCCCUGGAUCAGUUGAGGUCUAGUAUAUCCUACUGUAGCCCCUCACCUUCACUGUAGGUGUGGCAAUGACAAAAGAGUCAUAGGUUUAUUAGGAAGAGAGGAGGAUUUAAGGGGAAAGAAAAUGGGUUUAGUUUUGGACAUGUUGAGUUUGAUAUCUAUGGAUUAUCUAAUUCUAGAUAUUUAAUAGGCAGCUGGAGACCUGGCUUAGGGAUGGGUAAGUAGAUUUGAGUAUCAUAAGCAGUGAUAAUAUGGGGUUAAUGAGAUCACCAAAUGAAAUAGAAUAGAGGGAAAAGAAAAGAGGCUCCAGGGCAGAGCCCUGGGCAUGGACUGGAUGAAGAUCCAGUAAAGCAAACUGAAGGAUGUGAGCAACAAAAUGAUAGACUUGUUUCCAUGGUCCCUGACCCCCAGAAUUAAAAGUAAAGUUAAAAAAAAAAACCUGAACCCCAGAGACUGAUGCUCAUUGACCCUGAACCCACUCAGCACCCCUCCCUCACUCUCCAUGCCAUGAGCAGGGAAGCUGCACUUAGUCACCCCAAGGAGCAACACCUUACAUUAAAACUACACUCCAGUUCCCUCUCCCUUGAGUUUACUUAGCUCUUGCCUGCCAGCUCAGCCAUGGUCCUUCAGGAACAAAAAUCUGGGGCCUCAUCCUAGUACCCAAACUUAAAAGCUCUGAGCUGUCAGGCCAGGGAAAGCAGGUUUUGAAUGUCCUAUUUUAGCAGGCUCUGAGGGCCAGAGAAAUGAGGAACAGAGGGAGUGAGAUCACCAAGAUAGAAUACUGGGCACAUGAGUUGUGCAGUACUCCAUUAUGCCUAAGGGAAGAGCACCACACCCAACAGACCACCCCAAAAUCCUUUGGGGCAGAGACCUAAACUGGAAUUUUAAAUUGCCCUUUGGGGAAGUAGGCUGAGACUCUUUGAAAUCCAGCCCCCAAGAACACCAAAAUCAGAGAGGAGGAACUCAGAAGUGUAAGUAAAAAGGGAAGACAAAGUACUGAAGAUUCCAGGAAGAAAAAAAAUUACAGACCUCGAGCAUAAAACAAUAGAAAAACAGUAACAGGACCUCCAGUUCUAGCAAAGAAAGUCAGGCACCUAUGAAUGCUACAAAAUGAAGGAAAAUAAUCCAACAUCUAAUGAAAAGACCAGAUGGAAUAUGAGCAGAACAUGGAAUCUCAAUACCAUUCCUGAAUAGUUUAAAAGAUGAAAAUUGAGAGGAAAAUGUCUUACAUAGCAAAAAAUGAUCUGAAUAGAAAAACUUCAAUCUGCAAAGGCAAACCUUACCAAAGAAAGGAGAGAAUAGAUUGGGAAUGCAAAAGCCCCAAAGUAAAAGAUGACCUGUGUGUGGAGUGAGAAAUUAGUGUGUUAUACUCAAGUUAUUAAUUGUAAUAUCUAAAGUUGGUGUGUCCCCCCCUCCCCCCCCCAUCCUUAUAAAAGCUUUAAAGCUUUUAUAGUCUGUCUGGGAAUUGCCCUAGGCAGGAGGCCCAGGCUGAUGGCCUCAAAUCCUGAAGUACUCCUGAUCAGAUCCUAAUACCAAUCCUGAGUACCCUUUUGUUUUAGAAGACUCUCUUAUUGUAUCUUUGUAUAUGGAUUAUAGAAGCUUCUUCCAGGAGGUCAAGCCCUAAGGCUUGACUAAUCAUCUCAUCAGCCCCACCUAGAUAAGAGUAUUUGUCUCCAGCUUCUUGAACAUAAAUAUUGAUUUGCUUGGAUGUAUCCAUUGUGAAGCUAUUCUCUAAUUUCUGGAAGAUGUUAAUUAGCUUGAAUGUGUUCAUUGUAAAACCACUGUAAAGCUAUUCAACAUUCUAUCUCCAACUGUUGUAAACAUGUUAAGAUCCUUUCUGGGAGACUUGGUUGAAUCGGGAUUCUAUAAGUAAGGGAUUUUUCUGUGAAUUUUUGGGCAUUUGUCUUGGGUCCAUGACUUGCUAUGGUGCCCCUCCCAUCUCUCAAUAAAGCAUUAUAUUUUAAAUGAUCAAUUUCCAUGGUCAUAUAUUUUUUCAUAAGUGAUAAAAGAGGGUGAACUUUGAAAUUUCUAAGAUUCCCUCAAUUUCCACUCCAUACACCUAGAAGAAGAGGAAAAAGCAAGAACAUUAAAGGAAAACAUGUGCAGUAUACAAAAAACAUGGAUCUCAAAGACAGGAUUCAUAGAAACAAAAAAUUUUAACACCAUAAUAAAGAAAAUGACAAAAAUAGAACUGACCAGAACUUCUGAAUAUAGCAAAUGAAACUGCAAUGGAAAGAAUUCAGAUACUCUACAGAAAAAAAAUGCAAGACACCUUGUGACUAAAUUUAACAACUGGAUUCAGAAGUGCGUUUUGUAAGUCAUAAGGAAAAGGACCUUGAAAUACAAAAGAAAAGACAUUAAAAUAGUACAAGACUAUUCCAUUAGGAGGAGGAGGGAAUGGAGUAAUGUAUUCCAAAGAACUUUAGAGCUUAGAUAUAGCCCAGGGUGACUUCUCUUGCAAAUCUGAGUAACAUUACAGUAUAAAAUAUGGACAUUGUGACUGUGAAAAUGUGGGUUUCAAGACUUUGAAUUGCCAAAACUGUAAAGAUAAUUUUAGUGUCUUGAUUUUAUAUCAAAAAUAAAUGGUCGCCAUGGGAAAUAUUCUCAAAUAUGAAAUACUCAAGUCAGCUGGGUUUUAUGGAGAUUUUAAUUAAUACAAAUGAAGGAAUUAAAGGAAGGGAGAGAGACAGAGUAAGAGGAGAUAGUAGGAAAAGGCUUAGGGCCUAGGUCUCUUUAAGAGAGAAAACUAAGUCGGUCUUUUAUCCACUCACCACAAGAUUUUUUCCCAAGCAAAACUCCAAUUCUUCACUGAAAUCCUCAACUCCUGAACUGAGUUCAGAGAGAGCUCUAACUCCUGACCUCCAAUUCAGCUUCCAAAGCUGGAUUAACUUCAGAGGCCUCACGUUCCUUCCUUUUAAAGAAAAUUUUCUCGUGUCACCUCUCCUAAAUUUUCACAUCUACCAAUCACAGUAGACGCUUUUCCAGGACUGCCCAUUCUUAGUCCUCACCACUCUUUAGUUCUCACCUUCUCUGGGGAGAUUAUAUCUUCUGAGUACUUCACACCUCUUUUGCUAAACUUGCCCUUUGUAAGUUGCUUGACCUUUUAGUAAUUAAUUUGACUUUCACAGGUACUUAGCACCCUUUUGUAUUAGAUCUAAAAAUAGACCUAACUUAAAGGCUUUUGGCCUCACUAUAAGUAUGAGUUAGGGUCUUUUUCAUUGUUCCAUCAGGAGUUUACAACUUUAUCUUCCCCUAAAGUAUGCCUAAGUAUGGGUGGAGAAAUGUAAAAUUCCCAAUACAUUCCUGAUCAAGUAUCUCCAUUGUUUAAAAUGGGAAAUAGCCUUAACCAAAUGUUCCAAGGUAGAGUCUGAGAAUUUUUAAGAUUCUCAACAUUCAAUAAAGAAGAGUUUGAAACUAUUUUUUGAAGAAAAAAAAACUGCAGGGAUUAUUUGCAUCUUGAACCCUCCCCCUCCCCCCAUCACCAUCACCACACACAACAGAA
Non-coding RNA from Monodelphis domestica (gray short-tailed opossum), 5947 nucleotides. NCBI's taxonomy places the organism in Eukaryota, Metazoa, Chordata, Mammalia, Didelphimorphia, Didelphidae. The record is from RefSeq and is a predicted model, not a curated record.